GACGAACGCUGGCGGCAUGCCUAAUACAUGCAAGUCGAGCGAACAGAUGAAGUGCUUGCACUUCUGACGUUAGCGGCGAACGGGUGAGUAACACGUAAGGAAUCUACCUAUAAGCGGGGGAUAACAUUCGGAAACGGGUGCUAAUACCGCAUAAUAUCUUCUUCCGCAUGGAAGAAGAUUGAAAGAUGGCUCUGCUGUCACUUAUAGAUGACCUUGCGGUGCAUUAGUUAGUUGGUGGGGUAACGGCCUACCAAGACGAUGAUGCAUAGCCGACCUGAGAGGGUGAUCGGCCACAUUGGGACUGAGACACGGCCCAAACUCCUACGGGAGGCAGCAGUAGGGAAUCUUCCGCAAUGGGCGAAAGCCUGACGGAGCAAUGCCGCGUGAGUGAAGAAGGCCUUCGGGUCGUAAAACUCUGUUAUAUGAGAAGAACAAAUUGUAGAGUAACUGCUACAGUCUUGACGGUAUCUUAUCAGAAAGCCACGGCUAACUACGUGCCAGCCGCCGCGGUAA
Molecule: ribosomal RNA, 513 nt
Filed under: uncultured bacterium
Lineage: Bacteria
Description: partial 16S ribosomal RNA
Rfam family: Bacterial small subunit ribosomal RNA
Source: RNAcentral